UUUUUUCUUCAAAUAAAAAAAAUGGCCUUUUUUUGUAUAAACCUUACUUCUGUGGUAAAACAUAGAUUAUUAAGAGCAAUUUAUAUAUCCCUCAGCUAGAUAACUUGCUAAACUGGUUCAAAAUUGCAUGUACAGUGAGAUUUUGGAAUUCUUAUAUGAGUAUAUACCAUUUGCCUAGAUUGUAAAAGGCUACCAUAAGAAACACAAUAAAACUUGAAAAAUCAUAGGAUUAUUUUGACCAAGAGCUAUGUUGUACCAUAUGCAAGUCAUAAAAUACAUGUUUUA
This 285-nucleotide long non-coding RNA is filed under the name Mytilus galloprovincialis (Mediterranean mussel). Lineage: Eukaryota; Metazoa; Mollusca; Bivalvia; Mytilida; Mytilidae. The record is from RNAcentral.